GCGGCAAGCCUAACACAUGCAAGUCGAGCGGCAGCGGGAGAAAGCUUGCUUUCUUGCCGGCGAGCGGCGGACGGGUGAGUAAGGUAUGGGGAUCUGGCCGAAGGCGGGGGAUAACCACUGGAAACGGUGGCUAAUACUGCAUAAUCUCUAAGGAGCAAAGUGGGGGACCAUUUGGCCUCACACCUUCGGAUGAACCCAUAUGAGAUUAGCUAGUAGGUGGGGUAAAGGCUCACCUAGGCGACGAUCUCUAGCUGGUCUGAGAGGAUGAUCAGCCACACUGGGACUGAGACACGGCCCAGACUCCUACGGGAGGCAGCAGUGGGGAAUAUUGCACAAUGGGCGCAAGCCUGAUGCAGCCAUGCCGCGUGUAUGAAGAAGGCCUUCGGGUUGUAAAGUACUUUCAGUCGUGAGGAAGGUGUUAAGGUUAAUAGUCUUAGCAAUUGACGUUAGCGACAGAAGAAGCACCGGCUAACUCCGUGCCAGCAGCCGCGGUAAUACGGAGGGUGCGAGCGUUAAUCGGAAUUACUGGGCGUAAAGGGCACGCAGGCGGUUAAUUAAGUUGGAUGUGAAAUCCCCGGGCUUAACCUGGGAAUGGCAUUCAAGACUGGUUAGCUAGAGUCUUGUAGAGGGGGGUAGAAUUCCAUGUGUAGCGGUGAAAUGCGUAGAGAUGUGGAGGAAUACCGGUGGCGAAGGCGGCCCCCUGGACAAAGACUGACGCUCAUGUGCGAAAGCGUGGGGAGCAAACAGGAUUAGAUACCCUGGUAGUCCACGCUGUAAACGAUGUCGAUUUGGAGGUUGUGGUCCUGAACUGUGGCCUCCGGAGCUAACGCGUUAAAUCGACCGCCUGGGGAGUACGGCCGUAAGGUUAAAACUCAAAUGAAUUGACGGGGGCCCGCACAAGCGGUGGAGCAUGUGGUUUAAUUCGAUGCAACGCGAAGAACCUUACCUACUCUUGACAUCCAGCGAAGCCUUUAGAGAUAGAGGCGUGCCUUCGGGAGCGCUGAGACAGGUGCUGCAUGGCUGUCGUCAGCUCGUGUUGAGAAAUGUUGGGUUAAG
RNAcentral lists this ribosomal RNA (1056 nucleotides) under Arsenophonus symbiont of Ornithomya avicularia. RNAcentral's name for it is "bacterial SSU rRNA". It matches the Rfam family "Bacterial small subunit ribosomal RNA", at positions 39 to 1084 of the family's 1533-position model. Lineage: Bacteria; Pseudomonadati; Pseudomonadota; Gammaproteobacteria; Enterobacterales; Morganellaceae. The record is from RNAcentral.